RNAcentral lists this ribosomal RNA (467 nucleotides) under Fusarium oxysporum. Its description in RNAcentral is "eukaryotic LSU rRNA". It matches the Rfam family "Eukaryotic large subunit ribosomal RNA", at positions 1 to 477 of the family's 3401-position model. The record is from RNAcentral. Lineage: Eukaryota; Fungi; Ascomycota; Sordariomycetes; Hypocreales; Nectriaceae.
UGACCUCGGAUCAGGUAGUACCCGCUGAACUUAAGCAUAUCAAUAAGCGGAGGAAAAGAAACCAACAGGGAUUGCCCUAGUAACGGCGAGUGAAGCGGCAACAGCUCAAAUUUGAAAUCUGGCUCUCGGGCCCGAGUUGUAAUUUGUAGAGGAUACUUUUGAUGCGGUGCCUUCCGAGUUCCCUGGAACGGGACGCCAUAGAGGGUGAGAGCCCCGUCUGGUUGGAUGCCAAAUCUCUGUAAAGUUCCUUCAACGAGUCGAGUAGUUUGGGAAUGCUGCUCUAAAUGGGAGGUAUAUGUCUUCUAAAGCUAAAUACCGGCCAGAGACCGAUAGCGCACAAGUAGAGUGAUCGAAAGAUGAAAAGCACUUUGAAAGAGAGUUAAAAAGUACGUGAAAUUGUUGAAAGGGAAGCGUUUAUGACCAGACUUGGGCUUGGUUAAUCAUCUGGGGUUCUCCCCAGUGCACUU